ACAGACUGGUUGAAGAGCAUGUAUCAGAGCCAUAAGACAGCUGCGACUAUGCGAUGGCAUGCUGAGCACCAAUCAAAGGAGGGAGAAAUGAAUCAUCCUUCAGAUGCGGCAGAGUGGAGAUAUUUCCAAGAGUUACAUCCCCGGUUUGCUGAAGAACCCCGUAACGUUUAUCUCGGGUUGUGUACUGAUGG
RNAcentral lists this small RNA (191 nucleotides) under Arabidopsis thaliana (thale cress). RNAcentral's name for it is "ATSL038010". The record is from RNAcentral. Lineage: Eukaryota; Viridiplantae; Streptophyta; Magnoliopsida; Brassicales; Brassicaceae.